Mesocricetus auratus (golden hamster) is the source of this 1268-nucleotide long non-coding RNA. RefSeq lists it as uncharacterized. The transcript is spliced from 3 exons. The record is from RefSeq and is a predicted model, not a curated record. NCBI's taxonomy places the organism in Eukaryota, Metazoa, Chordata, Mammalia, Rodentia, Cricetidae.
ACAGGUGCUUAGAAAUGAACCUGGGUCCUCUGGGAGAGCAGUCAUUCCUCUCAAUCACUGAGCUAUCUCUCUAGUUUCCUCCAUUGUUUCCAGGCAGGUCUGAGUCUACCAAUGGAGCUCAUCUCUAAAUUGUGUUUGUGUAUGUGGAGAUCUCGGUCAGCAAAUGUUGACUUUCUCAGAAGACUCAGUGUUCUGGACUACACUUGUAUCACCCACAGACCAACGGGGUUUCUUCCUGAAGCAUGGGCAUGGCUCCGUUCCCGCCCUAUGCAAGUGUCAGGAUCUCCAGGUAACAACAGCAGAGUUCACACGGAUUCCCGACCCAGCCUAUUUAAAAGGACUGUUUCUAGUGUUCUAACACUAAGUAUAAUUUGUAUCUGCUUUAAAUGAAGAAAGUAUUCCAAUUUACUGAUUUUGGAAAUUCCACUGAUCACAUCGCUGUUUCAUGAGCUGGGAGGCCGUCAUGGACACUGUGUGCCUCUGUGACUGACCUCAAUGCACCGUAAAUGCCAGAGUUCAGCAGCCAUCCCUUUGCCCAUGCUGGCACCCAGCAGUGUCCUCUAGGAGGAGACACCUGCAAGCGUAGGCUUGGUUCCCCUGGGCUUCAUUGCAGGCGUCUUUGUUAACUUUCACCUCUAUCCCUUCAGUGCCAAGAACCUUAACAUGAUUACACUGUUUCUGUUUUGAGUCCAGGCAAAUCUCAGAGCCAGAGUUGGUCCUGGGAUCCCACACGGGUCCCUGAACAGCCAAUCACACAAAUCGGAGAACACGAGCUUUUCUGACGUUGACCUUACCAUACUUCAGCAAAAUAAGAAAAAAAAAAGAGUCGAUAAAGGAGGCAAACAUGGCAUAGAGCACACAGACCUCCCCCUGGUACCAACUGCUGCCCAUCACUAUGUACAGUCCUGGACUCUUCAUGUGCAAUGUAUGCCCUUCAGUAAGAAAGACGCAAGGGCAACGACACUUAUUCCCGGGGUCUAAGUGGCAGCAAAGGCCUCAAAGAAGACACAACUCUACUGGAGGAAAGUCUGCUUUGAAAAGUGAGCUCAUGUCUCCAAGCCUUACAUCCCCUAAAGAGACUGUCUUCCAACAGAGAAGAAAACUAGCCAGCUAGAACUUUCAGAAGAGAACUGUCUUUUUUUUUUUUCCUACUCCAUUACUUCCCAACACAAUAAAUCUUACUAAGCUUUUGUAUAUACAAGGUUCAGUAAGCUCAAGGUUCAGGAUACUUGCUAUAUUUGCAAAAAUAAAACAAAUACUGACUAGGU